Patella vulgata (common limpet) is the source of this 473-nucleotide long non-coding RNA. RefSeq lists it as uncharacterized. The record is from RefSeq and is a predicted model, not a curated record. The transcript has 4 exons. Lineage: Eukaryota; Metazoa; Mollusca; Gastropoda; Patellidae.
CUUUAGAUCAACUUUGUAAAAAUGACAGCACGUGUGCUGCAAAGUUGACAAGUUUUCUCAAAAAUAAGAAAUGGAAGCCUAAUGAAAGACAACAGCUGCUUACAGAAAUCUCGAGUUUAUUUCUCGAACCACAAUGCACUGCCAGUAUUUGUUGUUAUUUACGACCCUUGGCAUUAGACAUUGCAGAAAGGAUAAAGUCGACCAUUAUUCACGGCGAGGGGAAUAAACAAAAUAAACAACUUAUUAGAUUUACAGUAGCACUCAGUAGAGCUAUCCGAAUAUGUCCUGAUCUAAAAAGUUUGACGUUGAAUUUUAUGAAGGCGUAUAAACCACUUACAAGUCAAGCAGAAGAUGAGGAAACCAUUGAACCACGAAAAAAGAAAGCCAGAAAGGAUAAGAUGCUUGAUCUAACUUUAUGUCAAACUGCAUGGUACCUAGUGGAUGCAUUAGGACCUGAUGUCAAAGACUAUAUU